Molecule: ribosomal RNA, 464 nt
Filed under: uncultured bacterium
Lineage: Bacteria
Description: partial 16S ribosomal RNA
Rfam family: Bacterial small subunit ribosomal RNA
Source: RNAcentral
CCUACGGGUGGCAGCAGUAGGGAAUCUUCCACAAUGGGCGAAAGCCUGAUGGAGCAACGCCGCGUGGGUGAAGAAGGUCUUCGGAUCGUAAAACCCUGUUGUUAGAGAAGAAAGUGCGUGAGAGUAACUGUUCACGUUUCGACGGUACCCCAAUAGCAAGCCACGGCUAACUACGUGCCAGCAGCCGCGGUAAUACGUAGGUGGCAAGCGUUAUCCGGAAUGACUGGGCGUAAAGGGUGCGUAGGUGGGUUAGUAAGUUGGCGGUGAAAUGCCGGGGCUAAACCUCGGCGCUACCGCCAAAACUAUUCGAGUAGGGUGCAGGAGGGUAAGUGGAAUUCCUAGUGUAGCGGUGGAAUGCGUAGAUAUUAGGAGGAACAUCAGGGGCGAAGGCGACUUACUGGACUGUAACUGACACUGAGGCACGAAAGCGUGGGGAGCAAACAGGAUUAGAUACCCCAGUAGUC